RNAcentral lists this ribosomal RNA (253 nucleotides) under uncultured bacterium. RNAcentral's name for it is "partial 16S ribosomal RNA". It matches the Rfam family "Bacterial small subunit ribosomal RNA", at positions 524 to 776 of the family's 1533-position model. The record is from RNAcentral.
CACGUAGGGUGCGAGCGUUGUCCGGAAUUACUGGGCGUAAAGCGCACGUAGGCGGAUUGUUAAGUCGGGGGUGAAAUCCUGGAGCUCAACUCCAGAACUGCCUUCGAUACUGGCGAUCUCGAGUUCGGGAGAGGUGAGUGGAACUGCGAGUGUAGAGGUGAAAUUCGUAGAUAUUCGCAAGAACACCAGUGGCGAAGGCGGCUCACUGGCCCGAUACUGACGCUGAGGUGCGAAAGCGUGGGGAGCAAACAGG